CAGAGAACGCGUCUUCCGGGCGCAUCUCCCACCCUUUGUCUACCUUACUUUGUUGCUUUGGCAGGCCCGUCUCACGACCACCGGCUCCGGCUGGUCCGUGCCUGCCAGAGGACCACAAACUCUGAUCAUCAUGCCGUCUGAGUAACACACAAAAAUACGUUA
RNAcentral lists this unclassified non-coding RNA (162 nucleotides) under uncultured fungus. Its description in RNAcentral is "sequence contains ITS1, 5.8S rRNA gene". The record is from RNAcentral. Lineage: Eukaryota; Fungi.